GACGAACGCUGGCGGCGUGCUUAACACAUGCAAGUCGAACGGAAAGGCCCUGCUUUUGUGGGGUGCUCGAGUGGCGAAGGGGUGAGUAACACGUGAGUAACCUGCCCUUGACUUUGGGGUAACUUCAGGAAACUGGGGUUAAUACCGGAUAGGAGCUCCUGCUGCAUGGUGGGGGUUGGAAAGUUUCGGCGGUUGGGGAUGGACUCGCGGCUUAUGAGCUUGUUGGUGGGGUAGUGGAUUACCAAGGAUUUGACGGGUAGCCGGCAUGGGAGGGUGACCGGCCACAUUAGGCCUGAGGUAGGGCCCAGACUCCUACGGUAGGCAGCAGUGGGGAAUAUUGCACAGUGGGCGCAAGCCUGAUGCAGCAACGCCGCGUGCGGGAUGACGGCCUUCGGGUUGUAAACCGCUUUCGCCUGUGACGAAGCGUGUGUGACGGUAAUGGGUAAAGAAGCACCGGCUAACUACGUG
RNAcentral lists this ribosomal RNA (468 nucleotides) under uncultured bacterium. RNAcentral describes it as "partial 16S ribosomal RNA". It matches the Rfam family "Bacterial small subunit ribosomal RNA", at positions 28 to 507 of the family's 1533-position model. The record is from RNAcentral.